This 1801-nucleotide long non-coding RNA is filed under the name Rattus norvegicus (Norway rat). RNAcentral's name for it is "long non-coding RNA NONRATT028554". Lineage: Eukaryota; Metazoa; Chordata; Mammalia; Rodentia; Muridae. The record is from RNAcentral.
AUGUUUUCCCAAAAUAUACUGCAGAAGUGCUGUAAUAUUGACAAAAUGAAAAUGCCUUCCAGAUUGAAAAUGGGGGCCGCUCAUUUCAGGACUGCAGGAACAGACCGCAACAGAUUGGCAUAAACCCCUGCCCCCCAACAGGCUGUGAGCUGCUUAGCCCAGGAGACCUAGCAGCUAUGGCAGGACAGUUAGGCGACAGAUGAGGGGCUGCGGAGAGGCUGUCAGAAGGUUAAAGGCUGCAGAGAGAAGUUGGGAACCUCAUCAGCGGCCAAGCCUGUUAGGCACUGACACAGAGAGGAGGUGAGGACAGUCGCCUGGUGAAGACCAAGAAUCAUCCAGCUGGAACCAGUCGUAAGCUCCCAUUUUCUCCUUCCUCAGUUUCAAGUAGACAUCCCUAGUUCCACGGCUACCUUUAUUUCAUGAGAUGGAGGCUGGUGAGAGUAGACGAGCUCUCUGCUCAUCUGAUUGUUUCUGUGUCUGCCCCUAACUAGUGACCCAUGGAAGCUUGCAAGUCGUUUCUCCUCACAAGUACUAAAGUAACACUAAGGCGGCUUAGGCCCACUCUUGUGGAGAGGCAGCUUUGAAAUACUGACAUGUUUGCCUGUCGGUUCACAUCAGCAGUGUGUACACUACUGUAUAGUAACCCUUAGCUUUGUUAUCUUGUAAACGAGCCUCUCCAAAGAGACUGGUGAUUCAAACAUGAGGUAAAAUUUUCAUUCAGCAAAAAGUGCAAUAUGUGUGGUACUCUUUUAUUUUUUGCUUAUGGUCUUUUGUUAUCCGUAGGUAUUAUUACUCUGUGCUUUGGGGGAAAUGCUUUAGUUUUGCAAUUUCCGAUUGGGCAAGUGUGUCUCUAGUAUUUACAUGCAACUGACAUGCUGGUCCCUGUAAGGCAAAGAGAGGGUGUUAAUACAACAGAAAAGCAACGGAUAUGGGGUCCCACUCUAUUCCCAGGGAGCUGCCUGACCAGCACCAGCCCUCAUCCUGCCCCUGACAUGGCCUGCCUGAACUCUGCCACCUUAGGAAAAAAGAUGGGGGCAGUUCUGUAUGUCCAUAACCCUCUAGAAUCUACCCAGUGGGAGACAAUGAGGGCCCAGGGAAAGCCUUUGGAAGUGAUGGGAGGUAUAAGAGCUGGUCUGAACAAAGCCCUUCCUCUUGCUUUGCAUCCUAGGAAAAAGGAAGCCAAGGUCUCUUUAUCCCAGAAAUCGAGAACUCAGAAAUAUUUAAACUGGGUCCUGGUGUCAGGGAGGGAGGGAGGACUUCAACCUCUGCCUCUCAUGCUCCCUCCUAACUUUUGUAAUUGAGUUACUGCAUUGUUACAGGACCCCCCAUUCUGUACGCUCCCCUCCUUCCCCCUGUUGGACAAUUCACCCUGUGGAGUAGCACCCUCUGCCCUGCCCCAGAGCUCUGUUAAAUAGGAUAGUCAUCACAGACCCCUCUACCUAUACCCUAGGAGCACCACACCUAAGACAGGGCUACUAGGACUGGGGAAAGGGUAUGCUCUCGGCUGGAGAGAGACCAUGUGGUGAACCAGAAACUGAAGGAGCUAAAAGCAGCAGCUUCUAGGCCAGCUGAUCAAGGACCCCAGGUGUGCCAGCAGCUCAGGACAUGGGACCCAUUGGGCUCUCCUUCCUCUACAGGUUCUCCAGCCUCUAAUCAAGCCUGCUUCUUAAAUCUAUCAGGAUCAGAGUUUCUCCAGUCUGGAUUACACUCAUGCCAACAGUGAGUUAAGUUCCCUGUUGGUUUACAGAAAACUCAUAGCCCAGGUGACUUUUUCACAUUCCUCCUCCUCUAGAGACAGUGU